UAGGGAUUGUGUUUCACUCAAAACCCACCAAAUGCCUCCUCCCACAAUAUUAGGUUGUUCUCCAAGUUUUGUACUCAAUCCGAUAUCGAUUGGUCCUUGAAAUCAGACAAUUCAGGUUCGUUUGAAAUUCAUUCCAAAAUGGGGUGGUUGGUGUAUUGUAUAGUUCUAGAGAUUGGAUUUCACUCAAAACCCACCAAAUGACUCCUCCCACAAUAUUCUGAUGUUCCCCGAGUUAGUCCUUGAAAUCGGCCAAUCAGGUUCGUACGAAGUUCGUUCUGAAAUGGGGUGGUUGGUGUAUUGUAUAGUUCUAGAGAUUGGAUUUCACUCAAAACCCACCAAAUGACUCCUCCCACAAUAUUAUGAUGUUCCCCAAGUUUUGGACUCAAUCCGAUACCGAUUGGUCCUUGAAAUCGGGCAAUUCGAGUUCGUACGAAGUUCGUUCUGAAAUGGGGUGGUUGGUGUAUUGUAUAGUUCUAGAGAUUGGAUUUCACUCAAAACCCACCAAAUGACUUCUCCCACAAUAUUACGAUGUUGCCCAAAUUUUGGACUCAAUCCGAUAUCGAUUGGUCCUUGAAAUCGGACAGUUCAGGUUCUUACGAAGUUCGUUCCGAAAUGGUGUGGUUGUUGUGUUGUAUAGUUCUAGGGAUUGGAUUUCACUCAAAACCCAUCAAAUGACAACUCCCACAAUAUUAUGAUGUUCCCCAAGUUUUGGACUCAAUCCGAUAUCGAUUGGUCCUUGAAAUCGGACAAUUCAGUUUCGUACGAAGUUCGUUCUGAAAUGGGGUGAUUGGUGUACUGUAUUGUUCUAGAGAUUGGAUUUCACUCAAAACCCACCAAAUGACUCCUCCCACAAUAUUAUGAUGUUCCCCAAGUUUUGGAC
RNAcentral lists this long non-coding RNA (880 nucleotides) under Prunus persica (peach). RNAcentral's name for it is "long non-coding RNA (PPER_LNC008781)". Lineage: Eukaryota; Viridiplantae; Streptophyta; Magnoliopsida; Rosales; Rosaceae. The record is from RNAcentral.